CAGCGUGUGCCUACCCUACGCCGGCAGGCGCGGGUAACCCGUUGAACCCCAUUCGUGAUGGGGAUCGGGGAUUGCAAUUAUUCCCCAUGAACGAGGAAUUCCCAGUAAGUGCGGGUCAUAAGCUUGCGUUGAUUAAGUCCCUGCCCUUUGUACACACCGCCCGUCGCUACUACCGAUUGAAUGGCUUAGUGAGGUCUUGGGAUUGGC
RNAcentral lists this ribosomal RNA (207 nucleotides) under Heterosigma akashiwo. Its description in RNAcentral is "partial Eukaryotic small subunit ribosomal RNA". It matches the Rfam family "Eukaryotic small subunit ribosomal RNA", at positions 1513 to 1719 of the family's 1831-position model. Lineage: Eukaryota; Raphidophyceae; Chattonellales; Chattonellaceae. The record is from RNAcentral.